AUGAGAUCUCACUUUGUUGUCCUCGCUGGUCUAGAGCUCCUGGCCUCAAGUGAUCCUCCUGCCUUGGCCUCCCAAAGCCCUGGGAUUACAGAUGUGAGCCACCACCCCGAGCCAAAUGUAAAAGUCCAUCCAAGGCAAAGAUAAGAGUCAAGAGGCCCAGAGGAAUGGGACUGAAGUGUCAGGGGCCAAGGACAGCCCACCGUGGGUUUCCUGUGAUCCUGGGGCUUGGCUAUUUGGACCAGGGGUGAGGGAUAGGGGAAGGGAGACAGGAGAUGCUGAGAAGGACAUAGCCUUAGGGAACAUUACGGCUUCUGUGCCUGGUGCUGCAGUGAAGGAACCAGGAGGGGCUGGCGAUUGGCCUAGGGGUUUGCUGUGUUUCAGAACUCCUCCUCCCAGGGCCUUCCCCUCACUCAGGCCAGACUUCUCACCCAUUUCCACCCCUGCAUCUUCGUUCAGGCUGUUCCCUGAUCCCUUCCCCAGGAGCAGCAUUCCUACUCCUCCUCCUUUCUUCCUAACCCAAGGUGCCUCAUCUCUCAAAGCCCAGAGGAAGGUGCACAUCCUCUGCAGGGCUUUCUCCACAGUUCUAAGCACCCUCUCUGCCAAGCCUCAGACCCCACAAGGCAAGGGUGGGGUGGACAGCAUUGCACAGUAUGUGCUGUGUACUGUGCGACAGGAUGCCUCUUCAGCUCCAGCCAGAGCAGGCUGAAAGUCUGCCCACUAAGUGGCCUCCCAGUCCUCUCCCAUUCUCCUGGCCCACAGUGAGAGGUGUGCAGAGCUGGAACCCCAAAUGGUGUCCCAGUGGGUAUGAUCAAAGCAGACACAGCAAGGUGACACCUGGUCCAGCAAGGUAGCAGUGAGGGCCCCCCAGAAAGGGGUCUCAUGGUUCUCUUGUCCCCCACCAUCUGGAUUAAAGGGUCCCCAGGUCCUGAAGAGGAACUGGGACUGCCUAUCAGAACUCAGGGCAGCGCCUGUGGUCUGCUGCAUGGCUGAGGGUCUGGGAAGUUGUCAUCCCACUUCCAGUGUGGGCUCCCUCCUGCUUAGCCCUGCUGGGCUGGGGACACAGACCUGAGUUAUAGAGCCUUUGUAGGUGUCACCACGUGGAUGUGCUGGUUUGGGAGGCCUUGACCUACCCCAGAGGGCAGCCCCUCAUGAGCAGAUUCCGUUCUGGGCACACUUGUGUGUCUCUGGGCGAGGGGAGUGCUCACUGCUGCCUUCUCAGCUGCUGAGCAGAGGGGCUGCUGGGGAGGACCGUUCCCCCCAUUAGCUAAACUACCCACCGCCACAUGUCCUGGGCCUCAUGUAGAUCGAGUUGCCCGUGCAGGAAGCAGGCUCAGCUAUGAAUCUACCUGAGGGCAGAGCUUUCUGCACUUGUCUUUUGAUUGGGAUUCAUGUUAAACGCCUUGCUUGCUCCUGGGCAGGCAUCUAUGGAUGGGGACAUCUGUGUCCCACUUGACAGUCUGCCAGGCUCCCUACUCUGAGUCUUCAUAGGUCAAGGAUGACUGCUUCCUUCUCUGAGGUAUUCCCCCAGUCCCGACAGUGAGUUUUUAUUACUGCUUGCCACAUAGUCUGUGUUUUAAGUCUGGCCAUUCCAAAUUCCCCCUCCAAAUUUGAUGAGCAGUCUGCCCACUGUGAUUGCACAAUGCCGAGAUGGGUGAGCAGAAACAGUUGUGCUUACGUGGGUGCAUGGUUCUUUGUGAUUUCUGCAGCUAACACUGCCAUCUGCUUCAUGUCCCGGGCUGGGUUCCAUGUCUGUCUGAGAUCUCGACCACCUUGUCUACAGCAGUCUGUGACCCAAGGUAGUAAUUGCUUAAUUGUCUAUUAGGUUCGUGGCUCUCAGGGGCCAGAAAGUUGUAUUCAUCUUUCUAUCCCGGACCUGCACAGGAAGUCAGUGGCCCAUAUGCAUUUGUUGAAUGGAAGGAAUUUUAAACUUCUUGAAGUUUCCCUUUCUUACCAAUUCUAUAUCUCAGCCCAGCCAGGAGCUGAGCCCUUAACAGGUCUGAUGGGUUGGCCAAUGGAUGGGACUGCUGAAAAGUUUCCUAAGUCAAAAGUGGAUUUUGAUCCCCAAGGACACAAAGAAACCCAAAGGCUUGACUCAACCAAGUAUCUGGAGUGCCUGUUGGUGAAAGGCCAGGCCCCAUCACAUGAACCCAAGGGCUCUCAUUCAGCCUCAAGGGCUGUGGAAGUGACUCCUGGUAGGUGGCUCCAGCACUGACUCUGGGCCCUCAGGGUCGAGGUUGCCAUGAAGACUGUGGUCCGCAUCACCUCCUGCCCCAGAUCGGAUUGGAGGGAGCCAGUUUGAAGAUCUGGUGCCAUAAGCCUACUGAUGCAGAACGCUGGAAGCAGAAUGCGGUUAGGGACGGUGCUCGGAGGAGCUGUGCCACCAACCCCACACAUACGCCAACCCUGGGCCGGGGGCCUCAGAUGGGUGGGGGGCCCCAGUCGUGCAGGAGAGGGGCAGGCAAAUGGGAGGGCCUUCAUCUUGGCGGCCAUGGCCAGAGGUGAGGGGUUGGGGGGUCGGGAGAUGGAGGCCUCAGUCCCUGCCCUCACCAGGUGGCAGGGAGCAGGAGGCAGGCUGACCCACUUAGAGACUGGCUCCUUUCAAAGCAGCAUGGUUGUGACGGGGUGCAGUAAGUGGGUCAGCCUGCAUAUAUCCAUGGGUCUUAAACUCUUCAACACUUGGCUGUUAAACAUCUAGAUCCUGCUUUCAUUAGCUUGUAAGCCGUGGCCAUGGGGACCUGCCUGGUCUUCUGAAGCAGCAAGUGUGCCCAGAGGCUAACAAACAGCAGGUGCCUCAAAUAAAUAGGAUUUUAAUACUCGAUGUAAAUGUGGGUGCAAAUAAAUACAUGAAAUGAAAGAUGGGAUCUGAAUUAUAUGUGCAAGUUACACAAUUGCUCAGCUGUUUUGCACUGAGAACUGUAGCGUGAUUGU
This is a long non-coding RNA of Rhinopithecus roxellana (golden snub-nosed monkey), 2928 nucleotides long. RefSeq lists it as uncharacterized. The record is from RefSeq and is a predicted model, not a curated record. NCBI's taxonomy places the organism in Eukaryota, Metazoa, Chordata, Mammalia, Primates, Cercopithecidae. The transcript has 3 exons.